RNAcentral lists this ribosomal RNA (553 nucleotides) under Helice formosensis. RNAcentral describes it as "partial 16S rRNA". It matches the Rfam family "Bacterial large subunit ribosomal RNA", at positions 1831 to 2625 of the family's 2925-position model. The record is from RNAcentral. Lineage: Eukaryota; Metazoa; Arthropoda; Malacostraca; Decapoda; Varunidae.
GUCUAUUUGAAGAUAUAAAAAGUUUAACCUGCCCACUGAUAACUUAAAAUUGAAUGGCCGCGGUAUCUUGACCGUGCAAAGGUAGCAUAAUCGUUAGUUUUUUAAUUGGAAUCUUGUAUGAAUGGUUGGACAAAAGAAAGUCUGUCUUUGUAUCAUUAAUUGAAUUUAACUUUUAAGUGAAAAGGCUUAAAUAAAUUAAAGGGACGAUAAGACCCUAUAAAGCUUAAUAUUAAAAUUUUAUUUAGUUGAAUUUUUUGUUAUAAAAACUUAGUAAUUGAGUUUAUUUUAUUGGGGCGAUAAGAGUAAAAUGAUUAUUAACUGCUUAAUUUUUAAUACAUUUAUAGAUGAUUAAAUUUUUAGAUGAUCCUAGUUAGAGAUUAAAAGUUUAAGUUACUUUAGGGAUAACAGCGUUAUUUUUCUUAAGAGUACUUAUCGAAAGAAAAGUUUGCGACCUCGAUGUUGAAUUAAAAUAUCUUUAUAAUUGCAGCAGUUAUAAAAGUAGGUCUGUUCGACCUUUAAAAUUUUACAUGAUUUGAGUUCAAACCGGCGUGAG